GACGAACGCUGGCGGCGUGCUUAACACAUGCAAGUCGAACGGAAAGGCCCUGCUUUUGUGGGGUGCUCGAGUGGCGAACGGGUGAGUAACACGUGAGUAACCUGCCCUUGACUUUGGGAUAACUUCAGGAAACUGGGGCUAAUACCGGAUAGGAGCUCCUGCUGCAUGGUGGGGGUUGGAAAGUUUCGGCGGUUGGGGAUGGACUCGCGGCUGAUCAGCUUGUUGGUAGGGUAGUGGCCUACCAAGGCGAUGACGGGUAGCCGGCCUGAGAGGGGGACCAGCCACACUGGGACUGAGACACGGCCCAGACUCCUACGGGAGGAAGCAGUGGGGAAUAUUGGACAAUGGGCGAAAGCCUGAUCCAGCAAUGCCGCGUGAGUGAUGAAGGCCGGAGGGUGGUAAAGCUCUUUUACCCGGGAUGAUAAUGACAGUACCGGGAGAAUAAGCUACGGCUAACUCCGUG
RNAcentral lists this ribosomal RNA (463 nucleotides) under uncultured bacterium. RNAcentral describes it as "partial 16S ribosomal RNA". It matches the Rfam family "Bacterial small subunit ribosomal RNA", at positions 28 to 507 of the family's 1533-position model. The record is from RNAcentral.